Molecule: ribosomal RNA, 206 nt
Filed under: uncultured bacterium
Lineage: Bacteria
Description: partial 16S ribosomal RNA
Rfam family: Bacterial small subunit ribosomal RNA
Source: RNAcentral
CGUGUAGGCGGUUAGGUAAGUGGGACGUGAAAUCCCUCGGCUCACCCGAGGACCUGCGUCCCAAACUGCCUAGCUUGAGUAUGGGAGAGGAUGAGGGAAUUCCUGGUGUAGCGGUGAAAUGCGUAGAUAUCAGGAGGAACACCGGUGGCGAAGGCGCUCAUCUGGCUCAAUACUGACGCUGAGGCGCGAAAGCUAGGGAGCAAACG